Molecule: ribosomal RNA, 155 nt
Filed under: Bacillus amyloliquefaciens
Lineage: Bacteria; Bacillati; Bacillota; Bacilli; Caryophanales; Bacillaceae
Description: partial 16S ribosomal RNA
Rfam family: Bacterial small subunit ribosomal RNA
Source: RNAcentral
UUGUACACACCGCCCGUCACACCACGAGAGUUUGUAACACCCGAAGUCGGUGAGGUAACCUUUAUGGAGCCAGCCGCCGAAGGUGGGACAGAUGAUUGGGGUGAAGUCGUAACAAGGUAGCCGUAUCGGAAGGUGCGGCUGGAUCACCUCCUUUC